Cercocebus atys (sooty mangabey) is the source of this 6166-nucleotide long non-coding RNA. RefSeq lists it as uncharacterized. The transcript is spliced from 2 exons. Lineage: Eukaryota; Metazoa; Chordata; Mammalia; Primates; Cercopithecidae. The record is from RefSeq and is a predicted model, not a curated record.
AUUAGCUAGGCAUGGUGGCACAAGCCUGCAGUCCCAACUACUCAGGAGGCUGAAGUGGGAGUGUUAGAGUAGGUAGUUAGGCAGACAUGAACAUCAGAAGAAAAGCCCAUCCCCCACCAGUAAUGUCAGGCAACCAUUAGGUGAUGGUCAGGUAGUUGUUAAGCAGUCUCUUUAAAAUAAUAAUUGGUUGUAGCCAGUGCCAGAGAAGGGCAGUCUCCCAAUAUAUAGAAAACACUUGAAGGUGGUGGCCAACAGCUUCCCAAUAAGGAGCUGGGCAAGCAGGCUCAAGCAUGCACUAAGAGGCAAAAUGGCAUAGUUUAACUGGUGUAUGACCUUCCUCUAUGAACACUUGAGAAAAAACACCUCAAGUGAGCAUGCACACAACUUCAGUAAAUACACUGUGCAUGUGGCCUCUCACAAGUGCUGGCAGGCCACUGUGCAUGUGGACAGCCCACCCCAAGAAAAAAUCAAGAGAGGAGAGACACAAAACUCCAGAAGAAUGCCAACAUAUAAAACCCCAAGUCAAAGGUCAAACAGGGCACUUGGAUUUCUCAGGUUACCCACUUGGCCCUCUUCCAAGUUACUUUACUUUCUUUCAUUCCUGCUCUAAGACUUUUUAAUACACUCUCACUUCUGCUCAAAAACUUGCCUUGGUCUCUCACACUGACUUAUGCCCCCCAGACAAAUUCUUUCCUUUGAAGAGGCAAGAAUCAAGUUGGUGCAGACCGAUACAGAUUCAUUGCUGCUAACAUAGUUUGAUGCCACAUGGCUUGGAUACGUUCCCCAGUGAUAAGAAAUCUCUAUGCCUCUCCUUCUUUGGCUGGAGAAGAAGGAGACCUGUACGCAGUUUUCUUCUCCCCUUUCACUCUCCUGCUUACUAACCAAUCCCCAGAACAACUAUUCUCAGCCACAGUGGCUCUGCACCCCCUGGCUGAUCUCUCAGCUUAUCCUGACAGGUGGCUUACGGCAGGAGGGGGAAGGACCUUGGAGUCCACACCAUGUAGACCUGAAAUACUAAUGGCCCUCCUAGACAGGAGGCUCACGAGAGUGGUAGGGCUAAAGCCUAAGAUUGUGCAAUGUCUGCAAUUUCCUCUGCUUUUUCAAAUAUAAUUGGCUUUUUCCCUAAAACCCACACCACCUAUUCUCCUGUUUUCUCUAUGUGUAUUCUGAAAUGGCCUUGUGUACCCACCACUCUGUCUGCCUCAGGGGCAAGUGUGCCUUUUCUCUUCUUUCGUUUUGUAUGCCAUGCAAGUUCCUUCUCUACCUUAAACACACACUCCCUGUUAUUCGUGCACCCAUGGCUCUUGUUGCAUUUGUACAGCAGCAGAGAAACAGGCUCCCUUGCAGAUGUCUGUUGGCUUGUUGCCAGGAUAGACACGAAUCAGAACCCCAGUUCUGUCAGCUCCUUAUGACUUACCAUACACUUUUCAUCCUUGUUAUGCUCCAGGGUCAAGUUUUUGGUGGCUUUUGAAGCAGUUUUUAAUGGCUGCAUAGAACAUCGUUUUAUGGUUCUUUAAGGAUCUCUCUCCUACUUGCUUUUUUUGAGUUAGCACCCCUUUGGGAGGAGAGAAAAUUCUUCCUUUGCCAUUUGUGAGCUCUUAUCCCAAGCUCCAAGUUCUCCAAAGAUUCCUCUUUAUGUCAAGAGGGCAAAUAAACAUUGGUAUUUUGAAUCCCAAGGCUGCUGUUUAUUUGAGCAUAUGAAGGCUUUCCAUCAGUAUUCCUCACGCUUCCUCCCACUUUCUCCUGUAGCAGAGGGAUUGUCCUGUCUACUCAAGCAUCUGUUCUGGAUGUUACCCCGGGAGGACAGGGAACCUCAAAAACAAAAUUUUCUCCAUUCCUCUAAUCACUUCCAUACCCUCCUCAAUGUACAUAAGGACUCUCAAGGUCAUAUUUAAAGGGAGGGAAGUCCAGCCCCUUGCAGCAGUUGGCUGAAAAACAAGCUUCUCAUCUACUUAAAGAACAUGGGAAAUGGAUCAUAAAAAAAAAAAAAGAGAUAAUCAUUUUGUUGCUAGAAUGCUCUGAGUAAGAGUCACUGUAAGAUCAUGGAGAUAAGGAUAUAGGCCGGCCCAAGGUUGCAGGUGCAAGAGACAAAGUACCCAUAGGACAGAGAGAGAUAAAGGCUGGUCCCAGGCUACAGGCACAGAACAGACUACCAUUAGAACAGAGAUGAAGGCAAGCUUAGGGGUACCCGGUAAAACCGGUUCAUUCUGAAACUCCAAGGAUAAAUAGGGGACCCCUUUUCACUUGGGUAUUUCCUCUGUUCUCAAGUGGGUAAUUGUGAUGAGAUGGGACAGAGAUUUGGGUACCCAGUAAGACAUGUUCAUUCUGGAACCCUAAUGAUGAAUGGGGGAUGCCCUGUUCAGGAAAGGAUAAUAGGGAAAUAAAAGGAGAUACCUUCUUUUUCCUUUUUUUCUCCUUUGUUCUGUCUUCACAGAUGGGUAAUCACAUCUCCAUACUACAGUACAAACCCUUUGGAUGCAUCCUCGAGAACUGAAACUUUGACCCCCAAACCCUGAAAAGGAAAAGGCUAAUAUUUUUCUAUAUCACAGCCUGGUUUUAAUACAAGCUCCAGGAGCAGAAAUCUUGACCAGAAAGUGGAAGCAUAAAUUUUAAUAUGCUCUAUCAACUAGAUUUGUUUUGCCACUAGCAGGGAAAAUAGACAGAAAUCCCCUAUGUACAGGCCCUAAGAAAAAACCCAGACCUUUGUUGGGCUUGUAAAAUUGAUCCAGUGAUGAUAGCAGCCAUAGUCAGGCUGCCCCAUCUGGUUGGUUCGGGAGACCCCUCGUUGGGUUUACCCAGGGCUCAAGCCCUGGAGGAACCAAGAGUGGAGCUUAGCUCAAACCCUACCCUUUGACCCCAUUAUAUCCAAGUCUCCUGGCUUUGGAGCCUUCCCUUUCAUACCCAGGGCCAUCCUCUGGACACCACCCCCUUGAGUUAUGCUCCCUUCAAGAAGUUAGUUGACCUACUAGAGUUCAGACUCUAUUUAAUAUGCAAGACCUGAGUCAAAUUAAAACAGAACUACGGAAGCUUAUGGAGAUCCUGACAAAUGCAUCAAAGGGUUCCAUAAAGUGGGCUUAACAUUUGAACUCACUUGGAGGGAUCUCUCAGUCAUACUAGGACAAACCCUGUCUAAGGGAGAACAUGACUCCAUUAUGGAGGCUCCCCAACAAUUUGCAAAUGCAAUGCACAUGACUCCCUUGGGGGCUACCCUGUAUGGGUCACUACAGUUCCUUGGGUCAGCCCCAGUUUGGAUUACAAUACCCAGAGGGGUAUAUGAGCAAGGAAUUGCAUGUUCCUAUGUCUGUUAGAAGGAAUGAAAGCUAGCAGAGCCAAGCCUGUAAAUUAUAAUAAAAUUGGUCUUAAUAAAUCAAGGACCUCUUGGAAACCCCACCACUUUCCUAGAGAGGCUACAAGAGGCCCUGGUGAAACACACUAACCUAGACCUAGAGACACCAGAAGGGCAACUGGUCCUAAAGGAUCAUUUUUUAACUCAGGCAGGCCCACAUAUUUGGAGGAAACUCCAAAAACUAGCACUGGACCCCAACACCCUUAUGCCUCACAUCUUCAAAAUAGCUUCCUCUGUCUUUUACAACCAGGACUGAAGAGGAAAGUGCUCAGGGAAAGAAGAGGUGAAAGGAAAAGCAGCAGUUCCAACUAUUGUCUGCCCUGAAAAUCCACCAGCCCUCUCCAAGUUGCCCUCAGAAUACCCUCCCAGUUAACUGCCAUCAGUGUGGGAAGCCAAGACACUGGAAGACAAACUGCCACAGUGGGACAGAUGAUCAAGUUCCAGAUGAUCCUCAGUGAGGGAUACCAUCCUCUUAAUAUUCAAGAGUCACCCUUCUACCGAGGACCCCUAGACUUCCCAUCAGUGGGACAUGGCAGAGGUGAAAUCCUGCCCAUCUCCCUUAGACCUGACUGGGUACUACUUUCACCAACCCAUGCAGCCACCCUGCCCUGACAGCUAGGAAGAGGCCAAGACUCACGGAACAAUCACUACCACACCUCUGUUGGCAGGAAGCAGUUACAGAAGACUGAUCAUCAUCCAUUUUCCCAAAGAAUUGGGUCGUGAAUUCUUGUGGGGGGAAAUGUUAGAGUAGGUAAUCAGGCAGACAUGAGCAAGGGAGGAGAGACCCCCUCCAACUAGGAAUGUCAGGUGACCAUCAGAUGAUCGUCAGGUGGUUGUUAAACUCUCUCUCUAAAAUAAUAAUAGGUUGCAACUGGCAACAGGGAAAGAAAAUCUCCCAAUAGAUAGAAAACUCCUGAAGCUAGUGAUCAGCUGCUUCCUAGUAAGAUCUCAGGAGUUGGGCAAGCAGGCUCAAACAUGUGCACUAAGAGGCAAAAUGGUGGAGUUUAACUGGUAUACGGACUUCCUCUAGAAACACAUGACUCAUGCACGUGUGGACAGCCUUCCCCAAGGAAAACUCAAAAGAGGAGAGAUGUAAAACCCCAGAAGCAUGCCAAUAUAUAAAACCCCAAGUCUAAGGUCAAAUAGGGCACUUGGAUUUCUCAAGUUGCCCACUUGGCCGUCUUCUAAGUGUACUUUACUUCCUUGCAUUCCUGCUCUGAAACUUUUUAAACUUUCACUCCUGCUCAGAAACUUGCCUCAGUCUUUCACUCUACCUUAUGCCCCUUGGAAGAAUUAUUUCCUUCAAGGAGGCAAAAAUCCAGCUGCUGCACACCCAUACAGAUUUGCUGCUGCUAACAGGAGGAUAGCUUAAGUCCAGAAGGUUAAGGCUGCAGUGAACCAUGAUUAUGCCACUGCUCUCCAGCCUGGCAACAGAAUGAGACUCUAUUUUUUUUUAAUUCUAAUAAGACUUUUUACAAAAAGCAAAAUGAUAAUGGAACUAAAAAUGUACGUUGACUGACUUAACUCCAACUGCUUUUUCCCUCAAUUGAAACCACCUUUGCAAAAAUUAUAACAGUGAGAAAAUUAUGGCAGUAGGGGUGAUCUGAUCAAGCCAAACUCCAUCUUGCCUUUAGCCUUCAAGCUGCCCAUAAUUAUUCCUGGGCUUAGGCCAAACUAACUUUGGGAGACACUUGGUCUGUAGUUUAAAUGAUAAUAGUCCUUCCCUAACAUUCCAUCACCUCAGCAAAGCUGAUGAGAGGCCAGCAGGCUAGGAGGAUAGAGGAACCUGAAUUCUGCUAAGGUGUAGAUAUAAACAAUUUCCAGCCACUAUUCUGGAGGUCACAAAAUACACAACUGCUUCAAUUACUCCUGCAGAUAACAUCAGUAUUUUAGAAUCUAAGAUUGGCCUUUUGAGAUGUCUUUUCAGGUUUUCUGUGUCUGACUACUGAUGGCUCCACCUGGACCCACCAACCACUCCUGUGGCCCCAUCCAGAGGCGACUCAGCAUGCGUAAGGACUAUUUCCCACACCGUUAUGAUUGCAUCCCCAACCAAUUAGCAGCAAGCACUUAUUGCCUAACCAGCCCCAUUCCUCCCCAAACCAUCCAUGAAAAACCCUAGCUUUCAAAUUUCCAGGGAAGCUGAUCUGAGCAAUAAUAAAACACGUCUCCCAUUUAGCCAACUCUACAUGUGUAAAACUCUUUCUCUAUUGCAAUUCCCUUGCUGCCUUGAUAAAUGAUAAAUCAGCUCUAUCUGGGCAGCAGGCAAGAAGAACCUGUUGAGUCCUUACAGUAUCCUUCUUUCUACACUCCUCUGCCUAAUUACUCUGAAUCUACUAACUUUUUCACUCAGUUAUUUUUCCACUUUGAAGACAAAAAGUUACAAAAAAAAAUGCCUUUUGAAAUUAGUCCCUCAGAAUAAACCAGCUGGGCUUUCUUUAGCCACCUGUAUGCCUUAGUCAAAUCUAAGCUCAGAGACAAUAGUGAAAGGCUUUCUUAUCCCAAAGGAAAACUCUCAGAAAUUUGCUGACGCUAUCCAUGCUGAAUCUAGGUAUAGAACAUGCUUUGCCCUAUUUACUCAUGGGCACCAUCCUGAACUCAGUAAUCUAGCUUUUUUUUUUAAGCUGGGUUGGGAAGACACAGAUGUAACUGAAUUAGUUGCCAAAAUAUGCUAUCUGGCAUAAAGAUUAUUUUGAGAGAGUUACUUUGAGACUCUUUGUAAGAGAAAUUUAUGUCUACAAAGGAAGUCUAUAUUUAUAAGCUCGUCUCUCUCUCUCUCUGCAUCAGGAAGAAAAGAAGGACUAAAUCACCAAACAGUCUUAA